RNAcentral lists this long non-coding RNA (573 nucleotides) under Homo sapiens (human). Its description in RNAcentral is "non-protein coding lnc-THSD7A-4:1". The record is from RNAcentral. Lineage: Eukaryota; Metazoa; Chordata; Mammalia; Primates; Hominidae.
AGAGUACAUAGAUUAGAUCCAUUCAUUGAUGGUUCAUUAAUAGAUUCUUAUGACUGCAUUGGUGUCCAAUCACCAGAUAGCCCCAGACCACUAGGAUAGAAUAUGCCACAAGCAUUUCAUGUCAAAGGAUGGUCAUUGUAAAAAUUUGUGUAUUGCAGCAAUUUGCAACCCAAAAUGUCUUUAUGGAGGCAGAUGCAUAUUUCCCAAUGUGUGUUCCUGCCGCACUGAAUACUCUGGAGUCAAAUGUGAGAAGAAAAUACAGAUAAGACGCCAUUGAGUAGCAUCAAGUAUAUGAAUUACAAGCCUGUAUCUUAAGAAUGGAAAUAUUUUGUUCAGAAAAAGUUGGAGAUAACUUGGAGUUUAUUUGAACAUCAUUCAAAAAAUAUCUUAAAGACUGAAGAAACUAAUAAAAUACAUAAUGAUCUCUGUUGUAAUCAUAGAGAAAAGCAAAGAAGAAAUCCAGGUAAUCUAAAUUUGAUGUUGAGAUGGGAUAGGAUAUUUACAUAUUGAGAUGAUGUAUCUGAUAUUCCACCCAUUCACAAUAUUUAAUAAACUGAAUAUUUUCUCAGCCCU